This 218-nucleotide unclassified non-coding RNA is filed under the name uncultured Tomentella. RNAcentral's name for it is "sequence contains ITS2". Lineage: Eukaryota; Fungi; Basidiomycota; Agaricomycetes; Thelephorales; Thelephoraceae. The record is from RNAcentral.
ACACCUCAACUCUCAUGGUUUGCCGUGAUGAGCUUGGACGUUGGGGGUUUUGCUGGCCUGUGGUCGGCUCCUCUCAAAUGAAUCAGCUUCCCAGCGUUUGGUGAAGUCCGCAGGUGUGAUAACUAUCUACGCUUGUGGUUUUUCACCAGAUAACCUUUGGUGACGGAGGUUCGUUGGGGCUCAUAAAUGUCUCUCCUCAGUGAAGACAGCUUUUGAAC